UACGAAGGGGGCUAGCGUUGUUCGGAAUCACUGGGCGUAAAGCGCUCGUAGGCGGAUUUUUAAGUCAGGGGUGAAAUCCCGAGGCUCAACCUCGGAACUGCCUUUGAUACUGGGAAUCUCGAGUCCGGGAGAGGUGAGUGGAACUGCGAGUGUAGAGGUGAAAUUCGUAGAUAUUCGCAAGAACACCAGUGGCGAAGGCGGCUCACUGGCCCGAUACUGACGCUGAGGCACGAAAGCGUGGGGAGCAAACAGG
RNAcentral lists this ribosomal RNA (253 nucleotides) under uncultured bacterium. Its description in RNAcentral is "partial 16S ribosomal RNA". It matches the Rfam family "Bacterial small subunit ribosomal RNA", at positions 524 to 776 of the family's 1533-position model. The record is from RNAcentral.